CCCAUUAUUGUUUUGGACAUUUUGGUUCCCACGUUUUGCCAUGGGAAUGGGCAACUCUUCACAAAAAUGCCUAAUUAAAUGCUUUCCAUGUCCCUUCUCCAUUGCUCUAAAAUAUUUUUCUUAACUGAUUAAUCUCUCAACACCUCUUUUCUACAUGCAUUAACCCAUUGUAUGUUGUAUGUGUCUAGCUUGGGCAUUUCUGUUUCCAGCAAAUCAUUCCUAUAAUAAGUAAGGCACAUUAAUUCCCACAAUAAAUGAUAUUUUCAUUUAUUUUUUAAAUUAAUUUAAUUUUGAAAUCAUUUCUGUUAAGUAUAUUUUUCCUUUUACAUUAUUACAAACUAUUUUUAUAGUUUGUAGGUUUCUAAUAUAUAUAUUUACAAAUUUAAAUUCACAUAAAAUAAAAAUCAUUUUAAUAUCAAUUAUCAAGAUUUUAAAAUUAAACGUAUAUUUAAUUAAUUAAUAUAUACAACUAAUCCGGAUAUACCAACAAAUAGGUAUGGAGUAAAACUUAGGCAUUAUCAAGUAGGCCAUAUGAUUCAUAUAAAAAAGAAGAUGAUAUUAUUUGAUAAAAUAUCUCUAGUAUUUUGAACAUCAACGUCGAAGACUGUUAAGCAGUCCAAUAUUCAAAGGGAUAUGGGUUAGAUUUCCCUUAGAAACUUAAUUCAAGUGGCAAGUAUGAUUAGCGUUAAAUUAAUUAUAAUAGGAAUGUAGACCGAAAUAAAUUCGAUGUACAUAUAUUAUUUUCCAAGCAGAAGCUGGGAAAGUUAACUAAUUUUGAACAAGGAUGUAAGAAAUAUUAAUUAUUAGGCCAAUCCUAUCUAAGGUUUUGAUUUGAGCAGCAAAGCUGACUUGACUUAUCACAAAACAAGCUGCUCAGCUGUUUCUCUGUUUAUAUCACUGUCUUUGUCCACGCCGCCGACAUCAACUUAAAAGCUGAAAAUAUUUUGGCCUAAGUCACAAAUUACUACCUAAAUUAUAUUUAAAUAUUUUCAUUACUUAAAACACCCAACCAAUCAAAAUGUAAGUUCGAAAAAAAUCCACGUCUAAGUGUUUUGACUAUCAAAUAAAAUUUCCAAUGGAAAACUCUAUAAAUCUCGAUGGUAUUUCUUCUCUGUCCGAAAUUGAAGAUGGUGGUGGAUUGCGGGCAGAUGUUGAUCUCAAUAUAAAGAAAGUUCGAUUCAAAGGUGGUAAUAAUGAGGAAAGCACUGAUAUGUUGGUUGAAUCUAGAUCUGGCCCUACGAUCACAUAGAAUGCCAAACUGUUGGGGGUUAGUUUUGGAGAUCAGGAUAAGAAAGGGCUGGUCCUUUCUGGUAUUAGUGCUGUUGAAGACCUUGAAAUUUUGGAAGGAGACAUACAUAGAUCUAUGAUUAAUGGAAUCCUUGCCAUUGAUUUUUCUGAAAAGAUUCAACAAAUUUUAUACAAAGAAAUGGAGUGAACAGUUGUUAUAAAACUGCUUGGAAGAAAUAUUGGAUAUGGGGCAUUACACAGCUGUAUCAGUAGUCUAUGGAAUCCUUCCAUGCCCUUCCAUAUCAUGGACAUAUAGAAUGGAUACUUUUAGGCUAAGUUUCAAUCCCUAAAUGAUUAUGCUAAGGUUCUGUUGCAGGGGCCUUGGCUGAUCUACGGACAAUAUUUGACUGUCCAACCUUGGACAAAGGAAUUUACACCAUCUCAACCAUAUCCAAGCAUGGUGCUGGCUUGGAUAAGACUACCCGGCCUUCCAGGGUUUCUGUACAAAAAGAGGAUACUUGAAGAAAUAGGGGGGAUAAUCGGCAAAGUAGUCCUAUUGGACUUUAAUACAGACAGUAGAACUAAAGGUAGAUUUGCCUGGAUAGCCGUUUAUAUUAAUCUAGAUAACCCCCUAAUUGCACAAGUUCUUGUGAAUGGUUUACAUCAGAAGGUUGAAUACGAAGCAUUACCCAUGAUUUAUUUUACCUGUGGGAAGUACGACCACACCAAAGAACUGUGUGUCCCGUUGCAACCGGAAACAUCAUCGGGAAAGGAGCAGACAGGUGUUACUCCGGUAAAGGAUAUGAACGAAGGAGAAGGUGCCAUUUAUGGGCCAUGGAUGGUUGUUGAGAAAAAAAGCAGGUGUGAUUCUAGGAACAGUAACCUCAGCAAAGCGGAUCUUCGGGAACGAGGAAAAUUAGGAUCCCGAUUUGAUGCCCUAGUAAAUAUGGAAACUUUGAAACUGGAUGAAGCAAGAAAUAAGGAAAUAGAGGGACAAACGAUAGAUUUUAGGGAUACCCUAAAAGCUGGAAAAUUUAUUGAGUAUUUGAUGAACAAUAUCGAGGAAAACCUAUUUCUAGAAAAGGAGGCAGAUGGGGGGA
This 2327-nucleotide long non-coding RNA is filed under the name Gossypium barbadense (sea-island cotton). RNAcentral describes it as "long non-coding RNA (GBAR_LNC007649)". Lineage: Eukaryota; Viridiplantae; Streptophyta; Magnoliopsida; Malvales; Malvaceae. The record is from RNAcentral.